This 309-nucleotide long non-coding RNA is filed under the name Olea europaea (common olive). Its description in RNAcentral is "long non-coding RNA (OEUR_LNC002975)". Lineage: Eukaryota; Viridiplantae; Streptophyta; Magnoliopsida; Lamiales; Oleaceae. The record is from RNAcentral.
UUUUCUUCACAACCAAAUAUUUUCGUUUUGCAUCCCGUAGGAAAAAGAAAAAAAGAAAGAGAAUUAUUAUGGGGGAGGAGAAAAAGUACCAUGCAUAUCAAUGAAAAAGAAGAAAACUUCAUUAUUAAUAACAUUUUGUUCAUUAAGACAUAGAUUUUACAUUGUUCUCCACGGGGAAAGAAAAAUUUCUCAAGGGGCUCACGGGGGUGGCCCUUGGAGACCUAGGAAGCUCAGAAAUCCUACUCUCGGAGUAGUCAUAAGGGGGCCAAAAACCCACACAAUAAGUUGCAAGAUUCAAUCGAUCAAAAA